CGUGAAACCGUCCAGGGGUAAACCUGCGAAACUCGAAUGAACGAACGGAGAGAUUCAUCGUCACUCCUCGGCGCACGCGUGUCGAUAUUCUCGAUGUCGGUCGACCUCGGUGUCGGCGGGCACGUGUCGCACGCGUAGCGUCCGAGGACGGCGUGCACUUCUCUCUUAGUAAUACAUCGCGACCCGUUCGAUGUCGGUCUAAGUGCCCUCCGGGAGUCUACGCUUCCUUUAUUGUGUUGUGUAGACCGUGUAGGUGUCUCUCACCGACCGGCCGUCGGACGGUAGUUCGUACGAAACGCGCACGCGCUCGUCGCGUCCGGCCCGACGCAAGGCGAUGCGUCGUAUCUCUCCCUCCCCCUGCCCGAGUGCGGUGGAGGGUGCGGCGCGCCUGUCGUCGCAGCCGUGUUGUCUCGGACUGUGCGCGUAUCCGUCGGCGA
This 437-nucleotide ribosomal RNA is filed under the name Aporandria specularia. RNAcentral describes it as "eukaryotic LSU rRNA". The record is from RNAcentral. Lineage: Eukaryota; Metazoa; Arthropoda; Insecta; Lepidoptera; Geometridae.